GUGGACGGGAUGGACGAUGAAAGCCUAUGUUUCAUGGAGAGUCUGAGUGACAGCAACCAUGAUGAAAGUGAUACAGGUAAGAACAGCUCUCAGGUAGGAGCCAAUGGGAGAGGGAUCCCGGGACACUUGGGUGACGCCUGCUGCUUGGAGUGUGGGGCAGGUGAGUCUGAAACUUAAAAACAGAAAGAAAUUGAUGUAAAGAUGUUCACCGCCUACUUUAAUAAGGAGAGGGAGCAGAUAUGAGAUGCCUGAAUGUUGGCAUCUGUGCUCACCUUGUGUGGAAGGGUCUCAGUCCAUGGAGCAGAGGGAAGGUCUGGGCACCUGGAGGAAAAACCAGGGUGAUGCUCUGUACCCGUAGUCACCUCAGGGAAGCCGGAGAAACGGGAGGGCCACUCUUUCUAACUCCUUGAUUCCCCUGAUGGUGUGUUUCUACAGACUCAGUGGUGGAGAGCCUGAGCAGCCGCCAGGAUGAGGAGGCUGCAGCAACCCUCGAUGAUGUUGUGGAGGCCGGCGGGAGUGAGAAGACGGAGGAAGAGGCCCUGGCUGGGGCAAAUGAGGAGGAGGUGGGGCCGGGAACUGAGAAGGUGCAGGAGGAGGCUGCCUGCAUUGACGAGGCAGAGGAGGAGGCAGGCCCAUCCCUUGAAAAUGACGAGGAGUCCCCAGCCAGCGACCUGGUUGAGCAGGAAGACCAGCUUGCCCCCAAGGUAAGCUCACCUUUCUUGAUCGGAGAUUUAAAAAGGUGCCUCCUUUCUUCUUGGAUGUGCCUACUUCAGAAAAGGAAAUCUGAGCAAGUCCAUUAUAGAGGAUAUAUGCACAUUCCUCUGUGGAGGAAUGUUGAGUCAAAGUUUGGUACCAACCAAUAACUCCUUCCAAGGGGCAUUGGCAAAAGGGACCACAUCAGUUCCCAAGUGUACAUAGGGAGCAUUUGUCUUUGAAGAAGCCUGAAUGUUUUGUUUUGUUGUCUUUUUGCCUUUUCUAGGGCCACUCCUGUGGCAUAUGGAGGUUCCCAGGCUCAGGGUCAAACCAGAGCUGUAGCCACCGGCCUGCGCCAGAGCCACAGCAACGCGGGAUCCGAGCAACGUCUGCAACCUACACCUCAGCUCACGGCAAUGCCGGAUCCUUAACCCACUGAGCAAGGCCAGGGA
RNAcentral lists this long non-coding RNA (1145 nucleotides) under Sus scrofa (pig). RNAcentral describes it as "lncRNA (ENSSSCG00070010227.1)". Lineage: Eukaryota; Metazoa; Chordata; Mammalia; Artiodactyla; Suidae. The record is from RNAcentral.